AUUGAACGCUGGCGGCAGGCCUAACACAUGCAAGUCGAGCGAGCGGCGGACGGGUGAGUAAUGUAUGGGGAUCUGCCCGAUGGAGGGGGAUAACUACUGGAAACGGUGGCUAAUACCGCAUACUAUCGGAUGUACCCAUAUGGGAUUAGCUGGUAGGUGGGGUAACGGCUCACCUAGGCGACGAUCUCUAGCUGGUCUGAGAGGAUGACCAGCCACACUGGGACUGAGACACGGUCCAGACUCCUACGGGAGGCAGCAGUGGGGAAUAGUGCACAAUGGGCGCAAGCCUGAUGCAGCCAUGCCGCGUGUAUGAAGAAGGCCUUCGGGUUGUAAAGUACUUUCAGCGAGGAGGCGUUACUCGCAGAAGAAGCACCGGCUAACUCCGUGCCAGCAGCCGCGGUAAUUC
Molecule: ribosomal RNA, 406 nt
Filed under: uncultured bacterium
Lineage: Bacteria
Description: partial 16S ribosomal RNA
Rfam family: Bacterial small subunit ribosomal RNA
Source: RNAcentral